GUAGGUGGCAAGCGUUGUCCGGAAUUAUUGGGCGUAAAGCGCGCGCAGGCGGUCCUUUAAGUCUGAUGUGAAAGCCCACGGCUCAACCGUGGAGGGUCAUUGGAAACUGGGGGACUUGAGUACAGAAGAGGAAAGCGGAAUUCCAAGUGUAGCGGUGAAAUGCGUAGAGAUUUGGAGGAACACCAGUGGCGAAGGCGGCUUUCUGGUCUGUAACUGACGCUGAGGCGCGAAAGCGUGGGGAGCAAACAGGGAUUAGAUACCCUGGUAGUCCACGCCGUAAACGAUGAGUGCUAAGUGUUAGGGGGUUUCCCGCCCCUUAGUGCUGCAGCUAACGCAUUAAGCACUCCGCCUGGGGGAGUACGGCCCGCAAGGCUG
This 375-nucleotide ribosomal RNA is filed under the name uncultured organism. Its description in RNAcentral is "partial 16S ribosomal RNA". It matches the Rfam family "Bacterial small subunit ribosomal RNA", at positions 527 to 896 of the family's 1533-position model. The record is from RNAcentral.